RNAcentral lists this ribosomal RNA (339 nucleotides) under Pheidole violacea. RNAcentral describes it as "partial 12S ribosomal RNA". The record is from RNAcentral. Lineage: Eukaryota; Metazoa; Arthropoda; Insecta; Hymenoptera; Formicidae.
UUAUAAAAAAAAAUAAUUAAUAAGAAAUUAAAUGAGAUCAUUAAAUUAAAAUAAUUUGGCGGUAUUUUAAAUAGUUAGAGGAAUUUGUUAGUUAAAUGAUAUUCCACGAAUGGAAUGUCCUAGUGAAGUUUUUAUAUAUUGUUGUAUUAAAAUUAUUUUAAGAGAAUAUAAUUAAUAUAUUAAAUUUAAUUUGAAUUCAAAUCAAAAUGUAGAAUUAUUAGGGUUAGAUGAAUUACAAUUUAAUUUAAUAUUGGAGUUAUUUUUUUAAUUAGGAUAACAAGAGAGAAUUUAAAAGUAAAUUUAAAUAAAUAUUUAAAUUGAAAUUUUAAUUAAGAUAUG